UGCGAUGGCGUGUCGUCAGCUCCGUGUCGUGAGAUGUUGGGUUAAGUCCCGUAACGAGCGCAACCCUUGUCCUUAGUUACCAGCACGUUAUGGUGGGCACUCUAAGGAGACUGCCGGUGACAAACCGGAGGAAGGUGGGGAUGACGUCAAGUCAUCAUGGCCCUUACGGCCUGGGCUACACACGUGCUACAAUGGUCGGUACAAAGGGUUGCCAAGCCGCGAGGUGGAGCUAAUCCCAUAAAACCGAUCGUAGUCCGGAUCGCAGUCUGCAACUCGACUGCGUGAAGUCGGAAUCGCUAGUAAUCGUGAAUCAGAAUGUCACGGUGAAUACGUUCCCGGGCCUU
RNAcentral lists this ribosomal RNA (344 nucleotides) under uncultured Pseudomonas sp. RNAcentral describes it as "bacterial SSU rRNA". It matches the Rfam family "Bacterial small subunit ribosomal RNA", at positions 1042 to 1382 of the family's 1533-position model. The record is from RNAcentral. Lineage: Bacteria; Pseudomonadati; Pseudomonadota; Gammaproteobacteria; Pseudomonadales; Pseudomonadaceae.